This 556-nucleotide ribosomal RNA is filed under the name Bifidobacterium longum. RNAcentral's name for it is "bacterial SSU rRNA". It matches the Rfam family "Bacterial small subunit ribosomal RNA", at positions 144 to 712 of the family's 1533-position model. Lineage: Bacteria; Bacillati; Actinomycetota; Actinomycetes; Bifidobacteriales; Bifidobacteriaceae. The record is from RNAcentral.
UUUCUCCUGGAAAACGGGUGGUAAUGCCGGAUGCUCCAGUUGAUCGCAUGGUCUUCUGGGAAAGCUUUCGCGGUAUGGGAUGGGGUCGCGUCCUAUCAGCUUGACGGCGGGGUAACGGCCCACCGUGGCUUCGACGGGUAGCCGGCCUGAGAGGGCGACCGGCCACAUUGGGACUGAGAUACGGCCCAGACUCCUACGGGAGGCAGCAGUGGGGAAUAUUGCACAAUGGGCGCAAGCCUGAUGCAGCGACGCCGCGUGAGGGAUGGAGGCCUUCGGGUUGUAAACCUCUUUUAUCGGGGAGCAAGCGAGAGUGAGUUUACCCGUUGAAUAAGCACCGGCUAACUACGUGCCAGCAGCCGCGGUAAUACGUAGGGUGCAAGCGUUAUCCGGAAUUAUUGGGCGUAAAGGGCUCGUAGGCGGUUCGUCGCGUCCGGUGUGAAAGUCCAUCGCUUAACGGUGGAUCCGCGCCGGGUACGGGCGGGCUUGAGUGCGGUAGGGGAGACUGGAAUUCCCGGUGUAACGGUGGAAUGAGUAACUAUCGGGAAAAGAAGACCAA